GAGGCAUAUAAUGAGGGUUCUUAUUAUGGACUAUAGACAGCUGGGGUUUUCCCAGUGUCCAGGCAGACAGAGACGGUGAUGCUACCACAAAAAUGGCCCCUGCACAGAAGGAGCAGGAGAUAGGCUUUCUUGCUGGUUGCUGCUGACUGCCUGGAACUUGACUCAUUGCUGAAUGCGGGAGAGAGCGUCCGCGUGGAGAGCGGCAUUGUAAUAGUGCCACCCACCAGAACACGCACUGUGCUAAGGAAUGCCCCUUGGAGGUGCACUCGUGAGCAAACGUGAACUGGCAGGUCUCCCACGGGGGAGCUAAGCUGAAGUGGGGGGACCUGCAGCAAAUCAGGGGAUGUGGCAGUGAAGAAAAGAACUGGAAAGAAACCACACUGAGCUCCAGUAACGCUAGCUGCUUGGUGGGACCUGCUGUCUCCAAGCCAGUGAGCUCCAUGUCCAGGCAGGAAUGUUUGUGUGCAAGCCACCCGCUCUUGGGAAAGCCUCCUGCUGCACCCCGAGGCGCAAAGGGCAGAGUUAAGAAGGAAGCCACAGCCCCAUCUAAUGUCACCAGCUUCCUUUAUCUUUACAGUCAGAUUGGCAAAGUAAAGAAAAGCACUUGAUACAAGAUGUUUAAAUGCCUCUCCUCUCCCUCCCCUGCCUCCUCGAGGUCUCCAUUGAUGACGUCAAUUUUCAUUGUCCAACUGAGCUGAUAAUGCAGAGGAAGGAAAAGGGAUGAACUGUAACCUGUAGUUUGUUUGUUUGGAAACUUUAUUAACAAUCCACACAUGGUUUAAGACCAAAACAGUCUUUUAUUGAGAGUGGGAGAGUGAAAAUGAACCAAUCUAUGCAACCCUGCUAGCUCACACCCAUUUACAAAUCUGCUCUGAGCACUUUCAAUCCAAAUGCAUUGCUCAUGUACGGACUCUGCUCCUGCAAGCUCUCGCACAGAGCACGCAAGGCUGUGGUUGCUGUGGAGGCUAUUCCUGGGGGCACAGAUAAGAUCCAGCCAAAAAUGUAGCAGUAAUACAUAGCGUGAUGUUGGUGCUCCUAUGUGUAAGGGAUCACCCUUAAUCUCGAAUCUCAUUGAACCAGCAGGGGAGCAUAUCCUUCUCUUUUUAAUCUUGUGUUCCAAUUUUUUUCCCGCCCAAAUGUUAGACAGCCAGAUCUGUCUGGGGGUUGAUUCCCUCUUGCCCUGCCCUUACAUCCUUUUUGUUUCCUACUUAAAUUCAGCUGAACUCUGCUGAAUAGAGCAUGUUUUUUUUUAAUGGCCAGGUUAUAAACCCCUUGGGAAAAGAUGAAGUUGUCUGUUAACUGCUAACAGGCCACUACCUAAAGCAGUCUUACGGGGCCUUAUUUUUGUGCUGCUCUGUUUAUAUGGUUGGCUUUGAUACCUACCUAGCUUUUAAGGGUUGCCCUGGUGUGUUCCUGUUUGGGAUAACCUAGCAGUUGACAGAUUAUUGGUGAAACAACCUCUGACCAUGUUCUCAAUUCAGCAACAACAAAUUCAUUUUCUGCCCCUUGUAAAAAAAAAUGUGUGAGUGUGAAGCAUUGUUGGAACACGACAGCAAUAAAUUACAAUGAGAUUAGAGCAAAUCCCUGCUGAACAUCCCUGAAGGCAGCGGCUGCUACCAUGUUAGUUAAUCUUGUGGCCUUUAUAGGGAGAAGCCUUAUUGGCCUGGCUGUUGAGACUUCAUCUACUUUGUAGAGCCAAUGGGGUUAUGAGGCUGGAUAACUAGCUGCUUCUUUAGGCCCAUGAAUAUGGAUUUAGGACCAGAAUUGCCAAAAGUUGUUCAUGAUUUUUGGGUGCUCAACUUUGAGAUGCCUUUUAAAGGGGCUUGGCUGUUUCAGAGGGUGAGUGCUCGGCACUUAUGGAAUAUCAGGCCCCUUUAAGGUGUCCUAAGUUGGCCAGACAGUUACUUGGCUAAUGCCUCGGCUGUUUGUAAACAUUGUCCUCCAUCCUCUUCCCUGUGAGAUUAUGCAGCCUCGCCGACUGCAGUAUUUGUGAACGCGUCCAGAAAUGAGCAUGGCCGCGCUCUCAGGUAGGGGAGCACCCAGGUUCAUUGGGACGUGGGGGAGCUGAUCUCUUGUGAGGAGCUCUUCCAAGAUCCAAAGCCUGUCUUCCUGUGCAGCGAAAGCCUCUCGUGGCAAGGUUGGAAAGAGGAGGCGCCAUGCAUGGCAGUGGAAGCUGGCGUGGAGCCGAGCAGAAGACUGCAGUGCCAGCUCCUGUGCUUGCUUUGAGUUGAUCGUCUGUAGGGCUUGCUCACUGUCUGAACCAACAGACACACAUUCUGAAGGGAAAAGUGGAGUCAGACAAAUAACAAAGGCCCACGUGCUCCUGUACGGCGCUCAAGUGGAGGGGAACAAAUCCAAUAAUGGCCAAACUCCAUGACUCCUUGAGAGCUAGGGAUCUUCUCUCCAUCCCCCCACAUCACCAGUCAGGAGGGCCACCGUGGGUUCUGUCACCGUGUAGGUGACAGGAGCUGGAGCUCCUAUCUGACAUCAAGGAAAAUGGUGGUAGUUUCUCCAUCUCUGGAAGGCUUCAGAUCAAGCCUGGAUGCCUUUCUGGAAGAGAUGAUUUAGACAUAUCCAAUUGUUGGGCUCCGUACUGGAGUAACUGGGUAAAAUUAUGUGGUCGGUGAUAUGCAGGUCCGUCUAGAUGAUGUAAUGUUCCCUUCUGGCCUUAAACUCUAUGAAUCUCUCUAGGUAUCUCUGUAGCCCAAUCACAAUGAGACUCCAAGCCCACAAAUAUCAGGCAGCUGCACAGAGGACCCGUGCUGUGAGCUUCCAUAUAGCCCAUCAUCCUCUGCCAUGGAAACCUGUCAGGUCCAUAGCUAUGAACCAGCUGCACCUUGUGCCCCCACAGAUGGGAAUCCUAGAGCACAUUGUCCCAGCUGGACAAGCCCCCAGGGAUUUGUAGGUGGUGUAAGUGCCGUGUAUUGUUAGCUUCUAGCACUUGGCAUCCCAGCACAAUAAACCAAAGGGACAAAGUCAUUAAAAAGUGUAACAAGUUUACCUCCCUUUUGUUGUGUAUUAAAUAGACCAAAUUCUCCCAUUCAGGAAAAAAAAGGCACGUUCCCAUGGUAAAUAUCUGGUGUGGGUAGGGUGCUGCACUGUUGGCCUCCGUGGGACAGAGGAGCGUUACUUGCAACCCAUGAAAUGGGGCUUGAAGUGAGGGGAACUGUCCCAUGACAGCCCCGCACACAAGAGAAGCCGGGAGCCGAUUUAGCACGAGGAGGGGGACGCGCAUGCCAUUGUGCCUACUGAUACAUGCUAGGUGGAAGCUAGGGGACAUGGUCCAGGCUCCAGCUGGCUAGCACGUAGACAGUAUGUGCUAGCCAGGGGUUCCAGCUGUUCCUCUGAGCCCACCCCAUGUGCUCUCUGCCCUGCCCUGAGUCAUCCUGCCCUGCUCUGUCCCCAGCUCAUUGAACCCUCAUAUGGUUUCAACCUCUAUGCUUCUUCCUCACUCCUCCAUGCUCCUACCCAGGGCAGGAUAUUACGCCAGCUAUUUACUAGGGGCAUCUGUCGUUGCCCAGAGUUUCUAACCCAUCCAGGGCUGGCUGCCUUCUCCUAGCAGGCAUAAUGACUGUUACACCUGAGUAAAUAAAGAGCAAAGAGAGGAACGUGCUGAUCAAGAGAUUUGCCGGAGACGCCAUGAGCAGAUUUAUGCGUUCGGAACAUAGGGUCUUUUAUGUUUGGGUUGCAGGUAACCAGCCUGUUAAGAGAAACAAACAAAAAUAUCCUCUAAAGUUUAGCAGAAAACCAAGGGUUUAUUCUGCAGGCAACACUGAGGGCUUGUUGUCUGGCUGAGAGACCCACUAAGUUAUCCAGCUUCUUAGACAAUAUAAUUAACCCUGGGACUGAGCCCCUACAGAUACAGUAACUAUGUGUGCAGCAUACAUAAAAUGUCUGACAACUGGUGGUGUGUGUGGUAUAUUGAAAACAGUGUUAAUUAAAAUUGUGAUCUAUCACUUUAAAUUCUCAGAGGUUUUCCUUGUCCUGCUCGCAGUUAUGGGGCUCUGUAGGGAAGUGUCACAUGCCAGUACUAUCUGUGUCACUUUGCAGCGAACUAGGCUAGAGUGAGGUGGAGUGAGCUGUCCCUCUCUGUUAGGGAGCAGCCUCCUUUGUGUGUCUCUGUUUUGGGGAUUCUUGUAUCUUAUCAUUCUACAUUCUAAGAAAUAAAGUACUGUUACACUGCA
Long non-coding RNA from Chelonia mydas (Green sea turtle), 4184 nucleotides. RefSeq lists it as uncharacterized. The record is from RefSeq and is a predicted model, not a curated record. The transcript is spliced from 4 exons. NCBI's taxonomy places the organism in Eukaryota, Metazoa, Chordata, Testudines, Cheloniidae.